UUGCUACUUCAUCACUGUCAUUUUGCUACUGUUAUGAAUCGUCAUGUAAAUAUCUGAUCUGCUAUAUGUGUUUUCCGAUGGUCGCGACCCACAGGUUGAGAACCGCUGCCUUAGAGGGAUGAGGAACCGGAGGCCUAGGAGGUCUGUCUUGGUAUCACUAGUGCUGGGCGCACAGUCUUGAGAUUAAACACCCAAGAAGAACAGUGAAGAGAGCCUGGUGAUUGAUGUCAGUAGGUGCAGCGUGACGGAGCGACCCAAAAGCCAGCGCAGAAGGGGCUGUGAGGGAACCAGGGUCCCCCCUCCUGGGAUGUCCUAGAGACACUUGUCUCGGAUGGCGUGACUGCGUGGAGCUGGUACUGAGUAAGAAAGGGGGAACUGCUCCUCUCUGAAGAACUUCUAGACAGACUGUGAUCCGCGAAGGCAGGAGAGAAGACCCGAAGGCCGCCUCAGGGCUCCAUGGAGCUCCAGUUGGGCAUUCACCCCGAGGGGAGGGGAGCGAGGGGAAGGCUGGGCCUUGCUGUCAUUCCGCUGUGUGACUCACGGAGGGGAGGCAGUGUCCAGCCCUCACUUGUGCUGGGGCCUCUAGUUACUCACCCUCUGAGGCCUGCUGAGUGGACCUUCAGAAAUAACCUGAAGGAAUAGGGAGGCUCCCCAGUGAAUCAUGUUGACCUUCUUGUAUCCCCACCUGUGAUCUGUUCAAUCACCCCCUUUGAGGUCCUGGCAGAUGUUUGUGUCAGCAUCACAUACGCGUUGCACACACAGCAGGAAGCUCAUUAAACAUUUCACAUCUUC
Long non-coding RNA from Myotis myotis, 792 nucleotides. RefSeq lists it as uncharacterized. Lineage: Eukaryota; Metazoa; Chordata; Mammalia; Chiroptera; Vespertilionidae. The transcript is spliced from 2 exons. The record is from RefSeq and is a predicted model, not a curated record.